This 351-nucleotide unclassified non-coding RNA is filed under the name soil metagenome. RNAcentral describes it as "partial contains 5.8S ribosomal RNA, internal transcribed spacer 2, and large subunit ribosomal RNA". The stretch from base 1 to 120 matches the Rfam family "5.8S ribosomal RNA", at positions 35 to 154 of the family's 154-position model. The record is from RNAcentral.
GAUGAAGAACGUAGCGAAAUGCGAUAAGUAAUGUGAAUUGCAGAAUUCAGUGAAUCAUCGAAUCUUUGAACGCACAUUGCGCCCGCCAGUAUUCUGGCGGGCAUGCCUGUCUGAGCGUCAUUUCAACCCUCAGCCCCCGCUCGCGGGGCGCUGGCGUUGGGGAUCGGCCGUCCUCGCGGCGGCCGGCCCCGAAACACAGUGGCGGUCUCUCGCGGACUCCCCUGCGUAGUAGCACUACCUCGCAGACGGGACGAGCGGGCUGACCACGCCGUAAAACCCCCCACUUCUCCAGGUUGACCUCAGAUCAGGUAGGAAUACCCGCUGAACUUAAGCAUAUCAAUAAGCGGAGGA